CAAAUUUGGGGCACCCAAUGAUGCUGAGAUGUUGUAGAGCAGUGUGUGGUGGCUGUGACAAUAAAACUGAUUCCACAUUCUCACACCAAUGUAUUUCAAGAUUCUUGAGAUUGGGAAAGGCAUCUAAUGACAACGAGUUUCCCGGAGCUGCAGAUUGCGAGCUUUUGCAAAGAUUCAGGUAAACAAUUGCCUGGCAAGAAUACAGCAGAUAAACACCCUGAGAUUUGUAUUUCUUGGAGACAAGUUAGAUGGUUGAUGCUAAUUGCCUCAAAUGCAGACUUCACAAUGGAUUCACAUCCUCCAAUUGAUAAAUUAUCCCCAGUAAGUGACAUCUCUUGAGAGCAUCCUUCUGAUAUAUCUAGUUUGCGAACUUUAGAAACAUCAGACAAAGAAGAAAGGAUUUUCAAGAAUACUUGAUUAAACAUAUCUCCCUUUAACAUUGGACAAUCUCUUAUUAGAAGCCUCUUAAGCUGAGGAAAAGUUUCUGAGUCAGGGACUUAAGAGAUGGCAACUGUCCAAGUGAAGGCAACAUGCAGCAAUUGUUGCAAGACUUUAGAGAUACACUGGUCAUGUUUUGGUAGGAACAAUGGCCAACCCAAUUUGGAAAUAUUGUACCUUUGUAUCCCUCGAUUGUCAACUCUUUCAAGCCAUUGUGCGGUCGCAAGCUGUGGAGUAUGUCUCUUUCAAUCUGUGUGUCUGAAACCAUGUCAUCACUUGAAAACCAUUCCAAUGAUAAGCAGUCAAUGUGCAUCUUAUCCAUUACUUUUGCACUCUUUGCUUCCUUCACAUCAACGAUGUUCUCCAACUUCUUAAUCCCAAAUGAGCCAUGAAGGUUUGAAAGCUCUCCUAACUCUUGGAUUCCAUUGUCUUUAUGCUUGCUCACAGUAAAGUAGCUUAAAAUGUCUUCAAUGUUUGUAGAUUGCACAAGUCACAUAAUGAUUCUGGGAGUGUCCUAAUAUUUGUCCAAGAAAGGUCCAAGUAACGCAAAUAGAUCAAUCCACCUAUUGAAUCAGGCAAUACAUCAAGCAUUUUG
Molecule: non-coding RNA, 1033 nt
Organism: Arachis ipaensis
Lineage: Eukaryota; Viridiplantae; Streptophyta; Magnoliopsida; Fabales; Fabaceae
Source: RefSeq, a predicted model, not a curated record